GGGGAGGGCAUGCAACUGCUGCAGAAGUCAUCUUUGCAACUUUUGCAAGCUAUCUUUUCAGAUAUCGUCAAAAAAAUACCAUGCAACAGUAAAUACAUAGAUGGUAAGUUACUAGUGAUUUUUUUUUUUUUUUAAUUCUCUUUAGUGAAGUGUUCUGUUAAACAGAUCUGUCCUGUUUCAGAUCAGAACAUUUAUGAAUCCAGCAGUAAAAGUACCUAUUACAUGCAUAGUGGGGAGAUUAUCAUAGUCUUACUCCUAGCACGGACUCCUCUAUUAUGAUAAUGUAAAAUGAAUUGUAACGAUGUCACCAGUAACAUCAAGGAGGAAUCUGCUUUCAUGGAUAAAAUAAUCUAACUUGUUACACAAUACUGAGCAAUGUGCAGAUACCGGAUAUAGUUACUGUUCUGUCAUUUAAACAAACUGGGGGAAAAAAGUGACUUAAUCUGGUUGUUGGCACUUUUUAAACUGGUUGAUAGAAUGUACCCAUAUCUUUAGAUCAUAGCCUCACUUCCCCUCCCUCCUUAGAUAUUUUUUUUUUAAACCCCCAAAAAACACAUUACCUUGAAAGGGAUAGUGAAUCAAAUGUGCACAUGCAACAAUCAGCCCCAGGCAAUUGACUGCUUCUCAGUCAUUCUCUAUGAAAAGCAUUUGCAACAUAUGGUAGCAUCAUCAUAAUGGAAUGAGGAACAGCCUCUAGUCCAGGGGUCAGC
Molecule: non-coding RNA, 710 nt
Organism: Pelobates cultripes (western spadefoot toad)
Lineage: Eukaryota; Metazoa; Chordata; Amphibia; Anura; Pelobatidae
Source: the annotation of a GenBank genome assembly